UACGUAGGGACCGAGCGUUGUCCGGAUUCAUUGGGCGUAAAGAGCUCGUAGGCGGCCACUCAAGUCGAAUGUGAAACCUCGAGGCUCAACCUCGAGCCUGCAUUCGAUACUGGGCGGCUAGAGUCUGGUAGGGGGAUCUGGAAUUCCUGGUGUAGCGGUGGAAUGCGCAGAUAUCAGGAGGAACACCAAUGGCGAAGGCAGCUCGCUGGGACGUGACUGACGCUGAGGAGCGAAAGCGUGGGGAGCGAACAGG
This 253-nucleotide ribosomal RNA is filed under the name uncultured bacterium. Its description in RNAcentral is "partial 16S ribosomal RNA". It matches the Rfam family "Bacterial small subunit ribosomal RNA", at positions 524 to 776 of the family's 1533-position model. The record is from RNAcentral.